CCGUCCUACGGGGCGCAGCAGUGGGGAAUAUUGGGCAAUGGGCGCAAGCCUGACCCAGCAACGCCGCGUGAAGGAAGAAGGCUUUCGGGUUGUAAACUUCUUUUGUCAGGGACGAAGCAAGUGACGGUACCUGACGAAUAAGCCACGGCUAACUACGUGCCAGCAGCCGCGGUAAUACGUAGGUGGCAAGCGUUAUCCGGAUUUAUUGGGUGUAAAGGGCGUGUAGGCGGGAAUGCAAGUCAGAUGUGAAAACUACCGGCUCAACUGGUAGUCGCACUCAAAACUGCAGCUCUUGAGUGAAGUAG
This 305-nucleotide ribosomal RNA is filed under the name uncultured bacterium. RNAcentral describes it as "bacterial SSU rRNA". It matches the Rfam family "Bacterial small subunit ribosomal RNA", at positions 334 to 654 of the family's 1533-position model. The record is from RNAcentral.